RNAcentral lists this transfer RNA (77 nucleotides) under Staphylococcus aureus. RNAcentral's name for it is "tRNA-Val". It matches the Rfam family "tRNA". Rfam says of the family: Transfer RNA (tRNA) molecules are approximately 80 nucleotides in length. Their secondary structure includes four short double-helical elements and three loops (D, anti-codon, and T loops). Further hydrogen bonds mediate the characteristic L-shaped molecular structure. tRNAs have two regions of fundamental functional importance: the anti-codon, which is responsible for specific mRNA codon recognition, and the 3' end, to which the tRNAs corresponding amino acid is attached (by aminoacyl-tRNA synthetases). tRNAs cope with the degeneracy of the genetic code in two manners: having more than one tRNA (with a specific anti-codon) for a particular amino acid; and 'wobble' base-pairing, i.e. permitting non-standard base-pairing at the 3rd anti-codon position. The record is from RNAcentral. Lineage: Bacteria; Bacillati; Bacillota; Bacilli; Caryophanales; Staphylococcaceae.
CGGAGAAUUAGCUCAGCUGGGAGAGCAUCUGCCUUACAAGCAGAGGGUCGGCGGUUCGAACCCGUCAUUCUCAACCA